CCCUGUGAGGGGAGUGAAAUAGAACCUGAAACCGUAUACGUACAAGCAGUGGGAGCAGACUUGUUCUGUGACUGCGUACCUUUUGUAUAAUGGGUCAGCGACUUAUAUUUAGUAGCAAGGUUAAGCGAAUAGCGGAGCCGUAGCGAAAGCGAGUGUUAACUGCGCGUUUAGUUGCUAGGUAUAGACCCGAAACCCGGUGAUCUAGCCAUGGGCAGGUUGAAGGUUGAGUAACAUCAACUGGAGGACCGAACCCACUAACGUUGAAAAGUUAGGGGAUGACUUGUGGCUGGGGGUGAAAGGCCAAUCAAACCGGGAGAUAGCUGGUUCUCCCCGAAAUCUAUUUAGGUAGAGCCUCGGACGAAUUCCAUUGGGGGUAGAGCACUGUUAAGGCUAGGGGGUCAUCCCGACUUACCAACCCUUUGCAAACUCCGAAUACCAAUGAGAACUAUCCGGGAGACACACGGCGGGUGCUAACGUCCGUCGUGAAGAGGGAAACAACCCAGACCGCCAGCUAAGGUCCCAAAAUAUUGCUAAGUGGGAAACGAUGUGGGAAGGCAUAGACAGCUAGGAGGUUGGCUUAGAAGCAGCCACCCUUUAAAGAAAGCGUAAUAGCUCACUAGUCGAGUCGGCCUGCGCGGAAGAUGUAACGGGGCUAAGCAAUAUACCGAAGCUGCGGAUACGUGUUUACACGUAUGGUAGGGGAGCGUUGUGUAAGUGGAUGAAGGUGGAUUGAGAAGUCUGCUGGACAUAUCACAAGUGCGAAUGCUGACAUGAGUAACGAUAAUGGGAGUGAAAAACUCCCACGCCGGAAGACCAAGGUUUCCUGUCCCAUGCUAAUCAGGGCAGGGUAAGUCGGCCCCUAAGGCGAGGCAGAAAUGCGUAGUCGAUGGGAAACGGAUUAAUAUUUCCGUACUUAUAUAAUCAGUGAUGGAGGGACGGAGAAGGCUAAGCAAGCUUGGCGUUGGUUGUCCAAGUGAAAGCAAGUAGGCCGAGUGUUUAGGUAAAUCCGGACGCUUAAAGCUGAGAUGCGAGACGAGCUACUACGGUAGUGAAGUUGUUGAUGCCCUGCUUCCAGGAAAAGCUUCUAAACUUAUGAUUAUAUGAACCGUACCCCAAACCGACACAGGUGGUCAGGUAGAGAAUACUAAGGCGCUUGAGAGAACUCGGGUGAAGGAACUCGGCAAAAUUGUACCGUAACUUCGGGAGAAGGUACGCCCUUGUUUGUGAUAGGACUUGCUCCUUGAGCAGAUGAGGGCCGCAGUGACCAGGUGGCUGGGACUGUUUAUUAAAAACACAGCACUCUGCUAACUCGCAAGAGGACGUAUAGGGUGUGACACCUGCCCGGUGCCGGAAGGUUAAUUGAUGGGGUUAUCUUCGGAGAAGCUCUUGAUCGAAGCCCCGGUAAACGGCGGCCGUAACAAUAACGGUCCUAAGGUAGCGAAAUUCCUUGUCGGGUAAGUUCCGACCUGCACGAAUGGUGUAACCAUGGCCACGCUGUCUCCACCCGAGACUCAGUGAAAUUGAAAUCGCAGUGAAGAUGCUGUGUACCCGCACCUAGACGGAAAGACCCCGUGAACCUUUACUACAGCUUGGCACUGAACAUUGAACCUACAUGUGUAGGAUAGGUGGGAGGCUUCGAAGCACAGUCGCUAGAUUGUGUGGAGCCGUCCUUGAAAUACCACCCUUGUAUGUUUGAUGUUCUAACAUUGGUCCCUUAUCGGGAUUAUGGACAGUGUCUGGUGGGUAGUUUGACUGGGGCGGUCUCCUCCCAAAUAGUAACGGAGGAGCACGAAGGUUAGCUAAUCACGGUCGGACAUCGUGAGGUUAGUGCAAUGGCAUAAGCUAGCUUAACUGCGAGACAGACACGUCGAGCAGGUACGAAAGUAGGUCAUAGUGAUCCGGUGGUUCUGUAUGGAAGGGCCAUCGCUCAACGGAUAAAAGGUACUCCGGGGAUAACAGGCUGAUACCGCCCAAGAGUUCAUAUCGACGGCGGUGUUUGGCACCUCGAUGUCGGCUC
RNAcentral lists this ribosomal RNA (2017 nucleotides) under uncultured Thalassiosira. RNAcentral describes it as "partial Bacterial large subunit ribosomal RNA". It matches the Rfam family "Bacterial large subunit ribosomal RNA", at positions 525 to 2538 of the family's 2925-position model. Lineage: Eukaryota; Bacillariophyta; Thalassiosirophyceae; Thalassiosirales; Thalassiosiraceae. The record is from RNAcentral.